UUGCCUCUUAGCGAGGAUUUGGGUAAUUCUACACAAGAACAUAAACGCGCGCCGGUACCGAAAUCCCCGCUCUACAAACCUUCAAGUGUAAAAAAAAUCAUUAUUUUUAGUGCUUUCUUAUAGUAGAAAUCAGUGAUAGAGACAAAAACGUAACAAUAAUCUCCCCUUUGGUAACUUAUGUUGAAAAAUAAUGACUUAUAGCGGGGAUUUCUGUAAUUCUACUUUCACCCGCCGAGUACCUAAAUCCCCCAUAUUUACGCCUUAAAGGGUCAAUAUGUCAUCGAUAUGAUUGUUUUAAUAUUAAUUUGUAAGCUCUCUUGACAGCAUACGUUGCCUCUUAGCGGGAAUUUCGGUAAUUCUACACAAGAAAUUGAACGCGCGCCAUUACCGAAAUCCCAUCUGUACAAACCUUCAAGUGUCAAAAAAAUCAUUAUAGAGCUUUUUAUAGUAGAAAUCUCCAAUUUGGCAACUUCUCUUGAAAAAAUUUGACUUAUAGCGGGGAUUUGGGUAAUUCUACAUUCGCCCUCCGAUUACCAAAAUCCCCCAUAUUUACAUCUGAAAGGGUCAAUUUUUCAUUAGUAUUGUUAGGAUUUUGGCGCGUCGUCGCACACACGACGUCGCCGCAAUCGUUCACGUUUUUAUUUGACGUCAUAUUUAUAUACUUGUUAUUGUACGUUACUUUUUGAAAAGUCAGAUAAAGGUACGAACCUACAGAACGCGUAGUUUUCUAAUACGAUCGCACAUUUUGGUGCCGUGAACCGAACACAAACACGAACCUACAAAAGUUAUAAGCAACAAGAGACGGACAUAGGGCUACGCUUGAAGAUUUAUUCGUGCAAAUAGAAACGGCAAAGGAAAAUAACUCAUACGAGAAUUUGAGUUGUGCUUAGAAAUGAUCAAUGACGUUCUUGCAUUGUUAAAGUCUGUUGACGAGAAGAUUACAAACACCGUCGACUCAGAAAACAUUGCUACGGAGCUCAGAGAAACAGCUGCAUACAGUUUUCAUCUGAAAUUAAAGUUGCACAGAUAUAAGAAUCAUUCAGCAAACGCUAAACAAUGUUCGAGCGCCCCACCCGCUAGCCUAGAACAUGAAGCUGAAAACACUAACCAGUCAUCGAUACCGCACAUACAAGCCCCAGCUGUAUAGGAACCGCACAUACAAGCCCCAGCUGUACAGAAACCGCGAGAGAUGAUACAGCAAGUACAGAAACUGCUGCAAAUGUCACAUCAUUUACCAAAAACAACACUACCAACUUUCAACGGUGAAUUAAUGAGCUGGCCUACGUUUUGGAAUUCGUUUUCAUCCGCAGUACACAACAACCCCCACUUGCCUGACAUACAGAAGUUUUCAUACCUGAAAUCUCUUAUGCAAGACGAAGCUGCCAGAACAAUUGAUGGAUUUACGCUAAGUAACGCCAACUACCAGCAAGCUGUAAAUUUACUACAACAGCGGUAUGGGCAGAUUUAGAAGAUCACCGCUGCCUACAUGUCCAACUUACUACAGCUGCCGUCACCCGCCGCAAACAUCCGAGAGCUUCGUUACUUCUACGAUCGUCUGGAAACCAACAUCCGAGGUUUAGAGGCACUUGAAGAGGCACAGGAUUCCUACGGUAAUCUGUUGAUUCCUAUUAUUUAAGAAAGGCUCCCGUCGGAAACCCGCAGAAAUCUAGCCCGAGAAAAUAAAAUCGGAACGUGGACUCUCCCAGAUUUGAGGCAAGCUAUUUUUCGCGAGAUCGGUAUUAUGGAAGCUGGAAACAGUCAGGAAAUCCUCGACACACUAUUUCCGACAGCAGCCUUCCAUUCAAGUGCCCGGAUGAACGGAAAUCGACAAAAGCGAACCGAUGCCAAUGCGCGAAUGACGAUCAGUGAACGUGAGAUUAAGAAGAGACGAACAGAAUGUGUAUUUUGCGGAAAACAACAUAACGGUGACUGUUAUUCUGUAAAUAGCAUUCCCGAGAGGGUUUCUAUUGUGAAAAACAAGAAAUUGUGUUUUUAUUGUUUAAGUUACAGACAUUCAGUGAGAGAUUGUCCAUCGUCACGGAGAUGCAGACAUUGUGCACGUAAACACCACCCGAAUUUGUGCGAGAAUACACAGGCAAAGACGCCGUCCCCAGGAAACGGAACAGCCGUUACCAUAAGUCAUCCGAAUGAAAGUAUCGAAAGUGCUUGUAACAAUGACACCGGUGCUACAGUGCUUCACACCACUGCGAAAUCGACCCCCUCUAGCGUGCUGCUGAAAACUGAAAACUGCGGUAGCGCCAGUGUAUUCACACGGUUUGUGCUUAGACGCUAACAUUUUGAUGGAUGAAGGAGCACAUCGGUCUUUCAUCACACAUGAUAUGGCCGAUCAUCUGCACUUGAAGCGUGAAGGUUCUGACGUCAUUAAUCAAUCCGCGUUUGGAGAUCGAGCCCAGAAGACACAGCGACUGGACACAUCCAAAGUGCAAUUGGUAGCGGGCGAAGAUCCCGAUACGUGUGUUGAUUGUACCCUUCAUUGCAAAACCACUGUUCAACUACUUCCGGUCAUCUGUUACAGAUCUUCCCUAUCUCCGGGGCCUUAAGCUUGCACACCCAAUUACAUCAGAAGCAGACUUGGAGAUUAACAUUUUGAUCGGUGCCGACCAUUACUGGGAUAUUGUUGGUGAUGAAAUCAUCAGAGGCGACGGCCCAACUGCAGUUGGAUCUCGUCUUGGUUUCUUAUUGUCAGGGCCACUUCCGGAAAGCGCAAAUCAUGGAACGAGCGUUAUGGAUGUUAUCACUGCACAUGUAGCUACAGAUGUAUCACGCUUCUGGGAUAUUGAGACGUUAGGCAUCAAACCGGAAGACGCAGAACAGGCAUGCGCAGUCGACCAUAUGAAAAGCUACCAAGACACGUGUAUAACAUUUUCUGGCGGUAAAUACACAGCAAUAUUGCCAUGGAACGAGGAACACGCCACUCUACCUACAAAUUACGAAAUAGCAAGGAAGAGAACCGAAAGUAGCAUAAGAAGACCCAGCAACACUUGCCUGUUAUAGCAAGAUCAUAAAUGACCAAGAGAGACGCGGAUUUAUUAAAUGGGUCGAAGACGAUAGCACAUCGGCUCGUAUUCACUAUAUUCCACAUCAUGGGGUUGAAAAGGACUCUGCUACAACUCCAAUGAAAAUUGUUUACAAUUGUAGUUGUCGACAAGCAACCGGAAGUGCCAGUCUCAAUGAUUGUUUAAUGUCAACGCCACCGGAACUCAAUGAUCUCACACUGCUACUGAUGAAGUUUCGAGUAGGCAAGUACGGUGUUGUCUCUGACAUAGAGAAGGCAUUCCUCAACGUUAUGCUACAUGAAGAUGAUCGUGAUGUCACAAGAUUCCUUUGGCUGUCGGACCCUACAGACCCAUGCCGUCCACUGACGACAUACCGUUUCCGAGCUGUUUUAUUCGGAGCAACGUGUUCCCCAUUUAUUCUAAGCGCAACAAUUUUGAAGCACUUGACCCUCAACAAAGACAACACAGCGGCGAGCACAAUCAGACCUAUACGUCGACAACGUCGUUUCAAGUUUCACAUCAGAGACUGAUGUACUGAAGUACUUCCGCCAUGCACGUGAUUUGAUGGCAUCCGACGGCUUUAACCUGAGAUCAUGGACGUCAAAUUCAAGCGCACUGAUGACUAUGGCAGAAGCUGAAGGUGUCGUAGAAAGGGAUGCUGUGAUAAAGUUGUUAGGUUUGCUAUGGGAACCGGAAAUAGACCAGAUGUCAUUUGUCAUGCGCUCCAUAAAUUCCAAGGAAAAGGCUACUAAGCGUGGAAUUUUACAGCAGACGUCGAAGAUUUAUGUCCCGCUAGGCAUGUUAGCCCCAGUCACCAUUCGUGCAAAGUUGCUGAUUCAGGACCUAUGGAAGCGGAAGUAUGUGUGGGACACACCAAUUCCGGAACGUGAACAAAACGCCUGGCUACACAUCGCAGAAGACUUAAAUGAAGCUAUGACGACAUCGUUCCCGAGACAGUAUUUUAAUGGACAACCCAUCGAACAUGGUCGAUGAAGAUUACGUGUGACACGUGUUUGUUGACGCCAGUACACGUGCGUACGGCGCAGUCGCAUACCUGAACACAUCGUCGAGUUCAGCGUUCGUCUUUGCCAAGAACCGAGUGGCUCCAGUAAAUGAAUUAUCUCUACCGAGGCUGGAAUUAAUGGCGGCGCUCUUUGGCGCACGUGUCGCCCAGCACGUGAUGAAAGCUGUUCUUUGCAAGAGAGUAGUCUGCUGGUUUGACAGUCAGAUCACGCUGCAUUGGAUACAUUCUACAAAACAAUUAAAACGUUUUGAAAAGAACAGAGUAGAAGAGAUCCGGAAGCUCGCCCCAGACGCGGAAUGGCGGUAUUGUCCGACAGUCGACAAUCCGGCGGAUCUCCAGACACGUGGCAUCUUUGCGUCUCAACUUAAGAAAAGCAUUCUUUGGAGAGAAGAUCCCCCAUGGCUGAAUGACACAAGUAAAAGGCCGUCGUUGAAUACAGCAGCAAUCACGACAGGUUGUUGGAAACAGAAGAAGAAACAGAAGAAGAGGAAAAAGAAGAUGAUAAUAAUGAUGAAAUCGUUUGCGUACAGACCUACAGCUUGAUGUCAGCAACUGAUUCUCUUUUCAUUGUCGAUUGCGAAAGAUUUAGCAGUUACCGGAAAUUAAUUCGUACUACUGCUUACGUAUACAGAUUCGUAAGAAAUUGCCGGUCAACACCAGAAACUCGACAACUCGGUUGUAUUUCUGUGAAUGAAAUGAACUUUGCUGAGAAAGCAUUGAUACGAAGUGUCCAGAACCAGAGCUACAAUGACGUAAUGACAGAGCUUUAAAAUAACAACAUAUGACAGUCGAUCAUUAAGCAAUUACGUCUAUAUAUUGACGAUGAUGGAUGCGUUCGCUGUGGCGGGAGGAUUCACAACGCACGAAUACCUGCAGAUACAAGAUUCCCGUAUCUCCUGCCUACACGUAGUCAUUGAUCAUUACAGACGCUCAUUGCUGCCAGUUACAUGCCGGCGUUUUGCAGACAGUAACUCACAUACGACAAAAAUACUGGAUACCUUCAAUUCGCCAGCGAGUCAAGGGUAUUUUAAGGAAAUGUACUACGUGCUUGAAGAUCAACAGCAGACCCUACAGAGUGCCUACCUCUCCUCCACUUCCGAAAGACAGAGUUUCUGACGAGGCACCGUUCCUUGUUACCGGCGUAGACUUUACGGGCGCCCUUCGCGUCAGAGAGAAAACAGGUAUACAGAAGGUGUACAUUUGCCCAUUUACCUGCACCAGUACCCGAGCCGUGCACCUUGAAGUUGUUCCCGACUUAUCAGAAGAAACAUUCAUGCUGGCAUUUAGACGGUUUGUCAGCCGACGAUCCGUACCGAAGAUCAUGAUGUCAGACAAUGCGACCACCUUCCGAGCUGCGGCAAGUCACAUUCGCCGAUUAACACACAACACUCAGGCGUGUCUUGCAGUACAGGGCACAGAAUGGAAGUUAAUACCGCAACGCGCACCUUGGUAUGGUGGUUGGUGGAAACGGAUAAUAGGCAUCACGAAGAAGACCAUAAAGAAAGUACUUGGUAAUGCUUCAGUAGACUUACAUACACUGCAGACCGCCGUCGUCAAUUAUCUAUGAUAGACCGCUGACAUUCGUUUCAACAUCACGUGAAGAUCCAGAGCCGCUUACACCCGCUCAUCUGUUGUACGGCAAGCGGAUGACGUCACUGCCUACAUACGACACUCCCGAUACAGACGAUGUUAUUGGGCGCAAUCAUACCAGAGAUAACGCAGCACGGCGUUAUGACCAACACAGACGAGUCAUCGACCAAUACUGGGCGUGCUGGAAACGUGAAUACUUGACGUCACUACGCAAGCACCAUAAGACGGGAGGGACUACCGAGCAGACUAUACGAACAACAAGAAUGAAUGGUGGCAAGUAUCCUGGGUCUUUCUGUCAAGAAAUAGAUGUGAAAAUUAUUCAUUUAAUUGAACCUGGAAAUAAACCACCACAGCUAACAGAAAACCUUUUAACAAUAGGUGUUGUUUUAAAAUUUGUGAAAUUUGAUAAUAAGCAGAAGUUGAUUUAUAACAUGUACAAAUGAUCAAAUGUAACUGUUUAACAAUUUUAAUCGAGAUGCUUUAUUUUCUGAUGUUUGAUUUAUUUUUCCUUUCAUAUGAUGUACAUUUGUGUGUUUCUGGGUUUUUUAUAAAUAAUUCUGAAACAUUUAUGCAGCAUACUGUUACAUUAUUGUUAACAUUAUUAUAUUAUGAUGGUUAUCUGGUUUAUCAAGUGGAGCAAAUGUUAUUUAUAUAAAAAUAAAGCUUAUUAAGAGUUA
Dreissena polymorpha is the source of this 6308-nucleotide long non-coding RNA. RefSeq lists it as uncharacterized. The record is from RefSeq and is a predicted model, not a curated record. The transcript is spliced from 2 exons. NCBI's taxonomy places the organism in Eukaryota, Metazoa, Mollusca, Bivalvia, Myida, Dreissenidae.